AUGACAAACUGUGGCAUUGUAUGUGGACAUUUGGGAAAUACUGUCUUUGUAGCUGAAGAGCAGUGCUGUCACAAGAUGAGAUGGGCUUCAGUGAGAAGGAGUACGUUAACUAAGAAGCACCAUGAUUCUAAGCAGCAAAACUGCUUCCUGAGUAAUUUUAAGGAGAAAAAAAUACUGACCUUGAGGGAGAAGUCUAAAGAUUUCUUGGAUGGAGGGGUUUAGCAGAUCCCUUUCAGAAGUGCAGUGGCUCAAGAAUGCAAAAAUAUAGAUUCAGUGCAGAAGGAGAGGGCAUGAUAUGGCUGAGGAAACCAAGUUGACGUAAGGUGGAGACAGUGUCAACAAAUGCCAGAAACUGUGAUGGUGCUGGAAAACAAGACUGAGCAGCUUAUAAACCAAAGUGAACUUUGUACCUUGAAAGAAUGUGUCUGAAAGAUGGCAAUGAGCUAUUAGAUGAUUGCUCCUGUUGCAGGAAUAACAUGAUUGUGGUGUAUCAGAGAGUCUGUGACUACAUAGAAAUUAUUUUGAAACCUUUUGCAACAACUUUUCCAUUUUGAUUAACCACAGCCCACUGAGUAUGUGCUCUUCACACAUGACAGAAUUCAGAUGACAGAGGCCAAGCGAAGAAUGAAAAUGUUGUUGAUGACAUUUUCCUCAUUCAAGAAUCCUGUCAUUGAAAAACAGCCUCUUUUGAGAAUAAGAAAUAUCUCAUAAAAGUGUUGAAAUUAGUGCGGAGUUUCUCAAAUUAGUCUUAAUAUUAUUUAGUCAUUAUGGAAAUAUUCAUAUUAUUUUAAGUUUUGAAUUAAAAGCAAAAAUUUUGAGAAUAAUUUUGAUCUUUCAUAAACAUCAAUUAGAACAUUAUAAAAAACUAAUUUUUACUGAAAAAAAUGGAAA
Molecule: long non-coding RNA, 891 nt
Filed under: Anser brachyrhynchus (Pink-footed goose)
Lineage: Eukaryota; Metazoa; Chordata; Aves; Anseriformes; Anatidae
Description: lncRNA (ENSABRG00000003105.1)
Source: RNAcentral